RNAcentral lists this ribosomal RNA (510 nucleotides) under uncultured Actinomycetes bacterium. RNAcentral's name for it is "bacterial SSU rRNA". It matches the Rfam family "Bacterial small subunit ribosomal RNA", at positions 934 to 1448 of the family's 1533-position model. Lineage: Bacteria; Bacillati; Actinomycetota; Actinomycetes. The record is from RNAcentral.
GGAGCAUGCGGCUUAAUGCGACGCAACGCGAAGAACCUUACCAAGGCUUGACAUAUACAGGAAUAUGGCAGAAAUGUCAUAGCCGCAAGGUCUGUAUACAGGUGGUGCAUGGUUGUCGUCAGCUCGUGUCGUGAGAUGUUGGGUUAAGUCCCGCAACGAGCGCAACCCUCGUUCUGUGUUGCCAGCAUUUAGUUGGGGACUCACAGGAGACUGCCGGGGUUAACUCGGAGGAAGGUGGGGAUGACGUCAAAUCAUCAUGCCCCUUAUGUCUUGGGCUGCACGCAUGCUACAAUGGCUGGUACAAACGGCUGCGAUACCGCAAGGUGGAGCGAAUCCGAUAAAGCCAGUCUCAGUUCGGAUUGGGGUCUACAACUCGACCCCAUGAAGUCGGAGUUGCUAGUAAUCGUAGAUCAGCAACGCUACGGUGAAUACGUUCCCGGGGCUUGUACACACCGCCCGUCACGUCACGAAAGUCGGUAACACCCGAAGUCAGUGCCCAACCGUAAGGGG